RNAcentral lists this long non-coding RNA (526 nucleotides) under Olea europaea subsp. europaea. Lineage: Eukaryota; Viridiplantae; Streptophyta; Magnoliopsida; Lamiales; Oleaceae. The record is from RNAcentral.
GUUAUUGUAAUCUGGGUUUGAUCAUCGAAGCUUUCUGAACGAAGGAAGGUUUUUGUCUGCCUAUCUCUCAUAUUUCCAAUCGUAUGCGUCAUUUGUUGGUUUUCUUUUUGCCCCUUCGAUUUUGAAACGUUAUAUGAACCAUAAAUUUAUUUGUUCGUGGAUGAAUUUUGGCUUUUGCAUUGGCCGUUUAUUACAACCGAUCAUUAAAAAUUGAUGUUUAUUUAAAACUUCUAUUAUUUACUAUAGUUUUUCUCUCACUUAGUGUUUUCAGCCGAAGAGUGAAUCGUGUUUUAGACUGAUGUCAGGUUUAGAGGAGUGAAUCGUGUUUUAGACUGAUGUGAGGUAUAGAGGCUUCUUUUUAUGUGAAUCUAGAAAUUCGCAUUGCAGCCACUAGUUCAAUUAUGCUUACUUGUUAGUAGAUGGGGAAAAAAUGUGUUUACAAUAUUAGUGUAUCGUGUAUUGUUUGUGAUUUUAGCGGGUGAAUAUUUAUUCACCUUAUACCCUUCCUCCUCGAAUUCUUCUAUAG